RNAcentral lists this ribosomal RNA (445 nucleotides) under uncultured bacterium. RNAcentral's name for it is "bacterial SSU rRNA". It matches the Rfam family "Bacterial small subunit ribosomal RNA", at positions 354 to 796 of the family's 1533-position model. The record is from RNAcentral.
GUAAGGAAUAUUGGUCAAUGGACGAAAGUCUGAACCAGCCAUGCCGCGUGCAGGAUGAAGGCCUUAGGGUCGUAAACUGCUUUUAUACGGGAAAAAUAUGUGGAUUUAGAAUCCGCCUUGAUGGUACUGUAUGAAUAAGCAUCGGCUAACUCCGUGCCAGCAGCCGCGGUAAUACGGAGGAUGCGAGCGUUAUCCGGAUUUAUUGGGUUUAAAGGGUGCGCAGGCGGAGCGAUAAGUCAAUGGUGAAAGCCUACAGCUUAACUGUAGAAUUGCCGUUGAUACUGUCGUUCUUGAGUACAGUUGAAGUGGGCGGAAUGUGUUAUGUAGCGGUGAAAUGCUUAGAUAUAACACAGAACACCGAUAGCGAAGGCAGCUCACUAAGCUGCAACUGACGCUCAUGCACGAAAGCGUGGGGAUCAAACAGGAUUAGAAACCCUAGUAGUCC